GAGACAGCAGCAGCCACGGUAAUACGGAGGGUGCAAGCGUUAUCCGGAUUUAUUGGGUUUAAAGGGUCCGUAGGCGGACUUAUAAGUCAGUGGUGAAAGCCUGUCGCUUAACGAUAGAACUGCCAUUGAUACUGUAAGUCUUGAGUAUAUUUGAGGUAGCUGGAAUAAGUAGUGUAGCGGUGAAAUGCAUAGAUAUUACUUAGAACACCAAUUGCGAAGGCAGGUUACCAAGAUAUAACUGACGCUGAGGGACGAAAGCGUGGGUAGCGAACAGGAUUAGAGACCCCUGUAGUCCCUGUCUCUUAUAC
RNAcentral lists this ribosomal RNA (308 nucleotides) under uncultured bacterium. RNAcentral's name for it is "partial 16S ribosomal RNA". It matches the Rfam family "Bacterial small subunit ribosomal RNA", at positions 505 to 807 of the family's 1533-position model. The record is from RNAcentral.